AAAGAAUGGCUCUGCUAUCACUUAUCGAUGGCCGUUGCGGUGGCAUUAACCUAAGUUGGCGAGGUAACGGCUCACCAAGGUGAUGAUGCAUAGCCCGACCCCUGAGAGGGUAAUCGGCCACAUUGGGACUGAGACACGGCCCAAACUCCUACGGGAGGCAGCAGUAGGGAAUCUUCCGCAAUGGACGCAAGUCUGACGGAGCAACGCCGCGUGAGUGAAGAAGGUUUUCGGAUCGUAAAACUCUGUUGUAAGAGAAGAACAAAUUGUAGAGUAACUGCUACAGUCUUGACGGUAUCUUACCAGAAAGCCACGGCUAACUACGUGCCAGCAGCCGCGGUAAU
This 341-nucleotide ribosomal RNA is filed under the name uncultured Aerococcus sp. RNAcentral's name for it is "bacterial SSU rRNA". It matches the Rfam family "Bacterial small subunit ribosomal RNA", at positions 202 to 524 of the family's 1533-position model. The record is from RNAcentral. Lineage: Bacteria; Bacillati; Bacillota; Bacilli; Lactobacillales; Aerococcaceae.